Molecule: ribosomal RNA, 449 nt
Filed under: uncultured bacterium
Lineage: Bacteria
Description: partial 16S ribosomal RNA
Rfam family: Bacterial small subunit ribosomal RNA
Source: RNAcentral
GUCGAGAAUCUUUCACAAUGGGGGCAACCCUGAUGGAGCGACGCCGCGUGGAGGAUAAGGUCUUCGGAUUGUAAACUCCUGUCAUGCGUGAACAAGGUUGCUUGGUUAAUACCUGGGCAAAUUGAUGGUAACGCAAGAGGAAGAGACGGCUAACUCUGUGCCAGCAGCCGCGGUAAUACAGAGGUCUCAAGCGUUGUUCGGAAUCACUGGGCGUAAAGGGUGCGUAGGUGGCGGGGUAAGUCAGAUGUGAAAGCCCGGGGCUCAACCUCGGAACUGCAUCCGAUACUGCCAUGCUAGAGUACUGGAGAGGUGACUAGAAUUCUCGGUGUAGCAGUGAAAUGCGUAGAUAUCGAGAGGAAUACCAAAGGCGUAGGCAGGUCACUGGACAGUUACUGACACUGAGGCACGAAGGCCAGGGGAGCGAACGGGAUUAGAUACCCUAGUAGUCC